UCUGGUGGCCCAGCAGCGCGCGGUAAUUCCAGCUCCAAUAGCGUAUAUUAAAGUUGUUGUGGUUAAAAAGCUCGUAGUUGAACCUUGGGCCUGGCUGGCCGGUCCGCCUCACCGCGUGCACUGGUCCGGCCGGGCCUUUCCCUCUGCGGAACCCCAUGCCCUUCACUGGGUGUGGCGGGGAAACAGGACUUUUACUUUGAAAAAAUUAGAGUGCUCAAGGCAGGCCUAUGCUCGAAUACAUUAGCAUGGAAUAAUAGAAUAGGACGUGUGGUUCUAUUUUGUUGGUUUCUAGGACCGCCGUAAUGAUUAAUAGGGACAGUCGGGGGCAUCAGUAUUCAAUUGUCAGAGGUGAAAUUCUUGGAUUUAUUGAAGACUAACUACUGCGAAAGCAUUUGCCAAGGAUGUUUUCAUUAAUCAGGAACGAAAGUUAGGGGAUCGAAGACGAUCAGAUACCGUCGUAGUCUUAACCAUAAACUAUGCCGACUAGGGAUCGGACGAUGUUACAUUUUUGACGCGUUCGGCACCUUACGAGAAAUCAAAGUGCUUGGGCUCCAGGGGGAGUAUGGUCGCAAGGCUGAAACUUAAAGAAAUUGACGGAAGGGCACCACCAGGGGUGGAGCCUGCGGCUUAAUUUGACUCAACACGGGGAAACUCACCAGGUCCAGACACAAUGAGGAUUGACAGAUUGAGAGCUCUUUCUUGAUUUUGUGGGUGGUGGUGCAUGGCCGUUCUUAGUUGGUGGAGUGAUUUGUCUGCUUAAUUGCGAUAACGAACGAGACCUUAACCUGCUAAAUAGCCCGUAUUGCUUUGGCAGUACGCCGGCUUCUAGAGGGACUAUCGGCUCAAGCCGAUGGAAGUUUGAGGCAAUAACAGGUC
Molecule: ribosomal RNA, 876 nt
Filed under: Trichoderma koningii
Lineage: Eukaryota; Fungi; Ascomycota; Sordariomycetes; Hypocreales; Hypocreaceae
Description: SSU rRNA
Rfam family: Eukaryotic small subunit ribosomal RNA
Source: RNAcentral